ACGCCAGACUCCUACGGGAGGCAGCAGUGGGGAAUAUUGUACAAUGGGGGAAACCCUGAUGCAGCAACGCCGCGUGAGUGAAGAAGUCAUUCGUGAUGUAAAGCUCUAUCAGCAGGGAAGAAAAUGACGGUACCUGACUAAGAAGCCCCGGCUAACUACGUGCCAGCAGCCGCGGUAAUACGUAGGGGGCAAGCGUUAUCCGGAAUCACUGGGUGUAAAGGGAGCGUAGACGGCUGUGCAAGCCUGAAGUGAAAGGCGGGGGCCCAACCCCUGGACUGCUUUGGGAACUGUACGGCUGGAGUGCAGGAGAGGUAAGUGGAAUUCCUAGUGUAGCGGUGAAAUGCGUAGAUAUUAGGAGGAACACCAGUGGCGAAGGCGGCUUACUGGACUGUAACUGACGUUGAGGCUCGAAAGCGUGGGGAGCAAACAGGAUUAGAUACCCUUGUAU
RNAcentral lists this ribosomal RNA (448 nucleotides) under uncultured bacterium. RNAcentral describes it as "bacterial SSU rRNA". It matches the Rfam family "Bacterial small subunit ribosomal RNA", at positions 328 to 793 of the family's 1533-position model. The record is from RNAcentral.